UACGAAGGGGGCUAGCGUUGUUCGGACUCACUGGGCGUAAAGCGCACGUGGGCGGAUUUGUUAGUCAGGGGUGAAAUCCCGGGGCUCAACCUCGGAACUGCCUUUGAUACUGCAAAUCUCGAGUCCGAUAGAGGUGAGUGGAAUUCCUAGUGUAGAGGUGAAAUUCGUAGAUAUUAGGAAGAACACCAGUGGCGAAGGCGGCUCACUGGAUCGGUACUGACGCUGAGGUGCGAAAGCGUGGGGAGCAAACAUG
RNAcentral lists this ribosomal RNA (253 nucleotides) under uncultured bacterium. Its description in RNAcentral is "partial 16S ribosomal RNA". It matches the Rfam family "Bacterial small subunit ribosomal RNA", at positions 524 to 776 of the family's 1533-position model. The record is from RNAcentral.